Molecule: ribosomal RNA, 459 nt
Filed under: uncultured bacterium
Lineage: Bacteria
Description: partial 16S ribosomal RNA
Rfam family: Bacterial small subunit ribosomal RNA
Source: RNAcentral
CCUACGGGUGGCAGCAGUGAGGAAUAUUGGUCAAUGGACGAGAGUCUGAACCAGCCAAGUAGCGUGAAGGAUGACUGCCCUAUGGGUUGUAAACUUCUUUUAUAAAGGAAUAAAACGAGGCACGUGUGCCUUUUUGCAUGUACUUUAUGAAUAAGGAUCGGCUAACUCCGUGCCAGCAGCCGCGGUAAUACGGAGGAUCCGAGCGUUAUCCGGAUUUAUUGGGUUUAAAGGGUGCGUAGGCGGACGCUUAAGUCAGCGGUAAAAUUGCGGGGCUCAACCUCGUCGAGCCGUUGAAACUGGGUGCCUUGAGUGGGCGAGAAGUACGCGGAAUGCGUGGUGUAGCGGUGAAAUGCAUAGAUAUCACGCAGAACUCCGAUUGCGAAGGCAGCGUACCGGCGCCCAACUGACGCUGAAGCACGAAGGCGUGGGUAUCGAACAGGAUUAGAUACCCGGGUAGUC